Long non-coding RNA from Gymnodraco acuticeps, 2283 nucleotides. RefSeq lists it as uncharacterized. The record is from RefSeq and is a predicted model, not a curated record. Lineage: Eukaryota; Metazoa; Chordata; Actinopteri; Perciformes; Bathydraconidae. The transcript is spliced from 2 exons.
ACUCACACACACUCUCACUGCAACUUUGUGUGUGUGUGGGGGGUGUGGAGGGGACGGGGGUGUCGGAUGGGGGGGUCAUAGGACAAAGGCAAACGCGUGAUACAGCCCUCCAAAAACCACGCUCUUCUUUGGAUUUUCUCCUUUCUUUCUUCUUUUUUUUCUUCCAUAUAUCCCCGGAUAGGCCUAUGCAAUGCAGCCUCGCUCCUCGCCUGUGAGCUCCGUCUCUGCCUGGCUUUCCCACGCCGGCUGAAUGUGGCCUGACCCCCUUCAGAGAGGUUUGACACGGAGCGAGGACAUUUCCGCAUUCCUCCCCGACUACAAAGCCACGCCGCCUCCUUUUUGCUCUCACUCGGCCUCCUCGGUGCUUUUACCAUUCAUAGUCCUCUCCUGCGGGUUUUGUCUCCUGUGUCAAAACCGGGAGCACCGCGGGGAUCGUGAAGGGGAGAGAGGCAGUUUAUUGGAUGGACGGCCACACUAUCUAUCUCCCUCUCAGGGCUUUGAGGGACUCCUGCUGAAACAAUGCGCCAGCGGGGAUGCAAUGUGACAAGCUCGCCCUAUAUGGUCCCAAAGGGGUCAGGUUCAAGGCCCGGUGGCUUGAUCUGCGGCAGGGGGACUCCUCUGCUCCGGUGGUCGUCUGCAGGGCCCCAUCACGACCGGCGUGGUGACCAUCUGCUGAUCAGUCCAGCCAAGAGAGAAUUACAGCCCUCCCAAGGGGGACGAGGGAGGCCAACAAGGGACAGGUGACUCCCAGUCUCUCCCAGAUUGUCUUACACCCACCCACACACAUACAGAGAGAGGGAGAGAUUGAUUGUGGGCCUGUCUACCUGUCCCGCCUAAAUAGAGGGGGAUGUCCACGCGACCAGGCAUAGGGUACAGUGAUAAUAACCUAAAGUCUUUAGGUGGACAGCUGUCACACCUGGGAAGGAAUCUGAUAGGAUGUGUGAUAUUAGGUUCCUUUUUAAGUUCCCAAUCCCAUUGUCAGGAUUUACAAGCAUCACUUAGUCAGCGGUGUGAGUCAGGUCUUGCUCACCUAUCAGCAGCUUAAUAUUUAAGCAACAUUUUGGGCAGAACAGACAUGGUGCCGCCACACAAUCGGAGCCUGUUGUUUGUCCCUGACUUGAUUUCUUCUCUUUUUCUUCUUUCUUGUCGAGCCAGACUGAAGUCCAAGUGCAAGUAAAGCCCCCUUCUCUCCUCUUCCCUUUGCCCAUCUCCUCUCCCCGGCACCGGCCCCCAGACACAAGCCUCUUUCUGUUGGGGCAUCGCCAUAGCAACCAAGCCACUAACUUGAGGAGGCGACAUAAAAACCUGCUCUUUUAGGGGACACAGGAACACCUGCCACCUCCGCCGAUGGGGAGGGCCAGGCUGGACGCUUAGCCACGAACAGACACACACUCACAUACAAAUUCAUGUGGGCACGAAUGCACACACACACACACACACACACACACACACACACACACACACACACACACACACACACACACACACACACACACACACACACACACAUAAACAGAGGAUCAGUGUUAAAUUCAAAUGAGACCUUUAGCUAACAUCUGCCACCCUUCAGAAGCUCUUUUAUCUUCCAAUAACACCUUAUGUUGUUUGGUGGCUUCUUAACUCUUGUUCUAGCAAAACAAGGAGAGUUUUAUGACAAAAAUAAUCCAGUAGUGAUAAGAUUCUUUCCUUAUUUUAACAUCUUGAUGGUUAUAUUAUUAAGCAGUGGUUACUUAAUGAAUAACCAGGAUCACCAGGUAUACAGUUUGCCAUACAUAUACAUACAACAACCUGUACCUGUGACCUCAUUAUUUGAGUCUUGCCUAGCAACCGUUAACCUUCCCCUACACAGACACUCCCUGAUUACAGAGAAAGUUCUCUUAUGUCAGUUGCUCAACUCUAAAGUUCACAAUUAUCUCAUUGUAUCUCUUAUGUUUAAUCUGUUUAUAUAUUGAAUGAACAAGAUACAACUCAUUUAUAUCAAUACAACAUAUACAUUUUACAGCUUUAAUUAAAUGGUAUAAGAAAAUAAAAUAAUGUUUAUAAAGUCCAUAAAUCAUUCCUAAUAGAGCUAGAGCUAUCAGACGAUUAGCUUAGCUUAGCAUUUAAAGACUGGAACCAGGGAAACAGCUAGCAAAGCUCUGCAUGAAGUAACUUUUGGGCAAAUAACAUGUCGGUUGACAAACACAAAGAAGUUCAGUUGUCAUCUUUCUCAAGGCCGACGGCUGAAACUUCCUCAAACAGACAGCAGUUUAAAUCUCCCGCAGCCCCUUUAAAGGCCCCAAU